CUUCAUAAAUGAACAUAAAACUCAAACUUGAAAUCCACAUGAAUGCAAUUCUAUUUUGGAUAGAAGCAAUUUUGCAAUAUUUAAGUAUUGGCAAAAGGCUUCUAGUAAGUAUCUCACCUUGGUGUUGAGUUUCUCCAUCCCUGGGAACAUCAAGCAGAGCUCAGAGCUGACCAGUUACAAACCAAAGUCUUGAACAAAUUAUGAGGGUCUAUUACUUCUUGUCACAGGCCCACAAGGAGCUUUACAGAAAAAGGGAAGCCAGUUUCUUACCCAUGCUUAG
Molecule: long non-coding RNA, 280 nt
Organism: Bombina bombina (fire-bellied toad)
Lineage: Eukaryota; Metazoa; Chordata; Amphibia; Anura; Bombinatoridae
Exons: 3
Source: RefSeq, a predicted model, not a curated record